UACGAAGGGGGCGAGCGUUGUUCGGAAUCACUGGGCGUAAAGGGCGCGUAGGCGGCCCUCCUUGUCGCGUGUGAAAGCCCCGGGCUCAACCUGGGAACGGCGCGCGAGACGGGGGGGCUGGAGUUCGGGAGAGGAGCGUGGAAUUCCCAGUGUAGAGGUGAAAUUCGUAGAUAUUGGGAAGAACACCGGUGGCGAAGGCGAGUCUCUGGACAUUUCCUGACGCUGAGGCACGAAAGCCAGGGGAGCAAACGGG
This 253-nucleotide ribosomal RNA is filed under the name uncultured bacterium. RNAcentral describes it as "partial 16S ribosomal RNA". It matches the Rfam family "Bacterial small subunit ribosomal RNA", at positions 524 to 776 of the family's 1533-position model. The record is from RNAcentral.